Molecule: ribosomal RNA, 532 nt
Filed under: uncultured microorganism
Description: bacterial SSU rRNA
Rfam family: Bacterial small subunit ribosomal RNA
Source: RNAcentral
GAGUUUGAUCCUGGCUCAGAACGAACGUUGGCGGCGUGCUUAACACAUGCAAGUCGAACGAGAACGGUUUCUUCGGAGACCUAGUAAAGUGGCGCACGGGUGAGUAACGCGUAAGUAAUCUACCUUUGCAUUUGGAAUAACUACGGGAAGCUGUAGCUAAUACCAAAUACGUUUAUAUAGUUACGACUAUAUAAAGAAAGAUGGCCUCUUCUUGAAAGCUAUCGUGCAGAGAGGAGCUUGCGUACCAUUAGCUAGUUGGUAGGGUAAUGGCCUACCAAGGCAACGAUGGUUAGCGGGUCUGAGAGGAUGAUCCGCCACACUGGAACUGGAACACGGACCAGACUCCUACGGGAGGCAGCAGUGAGGAAUAUUGCGCAAUGGGGGAAACCCUGACGCAGCGACGCCGCGUGGAUGAUGAAGGCCUUAGGGUCGUAAAAUCCUGUCAGAUGGGAAGAAAUGUAUGAAGGAACAAUACCCUUUAUGCUUGACGGUACCAUCAAAGGAGCACCGGCUAACUCCGUGCCAGCCGCCG